UACGUAGGGUGCAAGCGUUGUCCGGAAUUAUUGGGCGUAGAGAGCUCGUAGGCGGUUUGUCGCGUCUGCUGUGAAAACUCGGGGCUUAACCCCGGGCCUGCAGUGGGUACGGGCAGACUAGAGUGCGGUAGGGGAGACUGGAAUUCCUGGUGUAGCGGUGAAAUGCGCAGAUAUCAGGAGGAACACCGGUGGCGAAGGCGGGUCUCUGGGCCGUAACUGACGCUGAGGAGCGAAAGCGUGGGGAGCGAACAGG
RNAcentral lists this ribosomal RNA (253 nucleotides) under uncultured bacterium. RNAcentral's name for it is "partial 16S ribosomal RNA". It matches the Rfam family "Bacterial small subunit ribosomal RNA", at positions 524 to 776 of the family's 1533-position model. The record is from RNAcentral.